AACCUUGUUCAGAGUAGGAUUCUGCAUGGAUGUCAGCUAAGAUUCCAGAAUGACUACUAUCUUGACUUACACUUUUAAAAAUCUUCCCACUACAUCAAAAUGGGCCCUGAGAUUUUCCAUAAGACCUAUGAGCUGUUCCUCCCAGCUGUGAGCUGCCCUAGCCGUCCAGACCAAAAUGAAGACGUUAGCCAAACCAAAUACAAGUAAUGUGGUGGUGUAUGGUGUUCGAACUCCAUUUUUGCUUCAUAUAAAGACCUGAUGCCACAUGAUUUGGCUAAAGCAGCACUUAUGGGUUUGAUGCAUUGGACCAGUGUCCCUAAAGAAGUAGUUGAUUCUAUCAUCUUUGGCACAGUUAUUCAGGAAGUGAAAACUAGCCAUGUGGCUAGAAAGGCUGCCCUUGGAGCUGGCUUCUCUGACAAGACUCCUGCUUGCACUGUCACCAUGGCUUAUAUCUCUGCCAACCAAGCCAUGACCACAGGUGUUGGAUUUAUUGCUUCGGGCCAGUGUGAUGUGAUCAUGGCAAGUGGUGACAAGUUGAUGUCUGAUGUCUCUAUUCGUCGCUCAAGGAAAAUGAGAUAACUGCUGCUUGAUCUCAACAAGGCCAAAUCUGUGGGCCAGCGACUAUCUUCAAUCUCUAAAUUCCGAUUGAAUUUCCUAGCACCUGAGCUCCCUGCAGUUACUGAGUUCUCUACCAGUGACACCAUGGACCACUCUGCGGACCGAGUGGCCACUGCCUUUGCUGUUUCUCAGCUGAAACAGGAUGAAUACACACUCUCACAGUCUGGCCAAGAAGGCACAGGAUGAAGGACUCCUUUCUGAUGUCGUACCCUUAAAAGUACCAGGAAAAGAUACGGUUACCAAAGAUAAUGGCAUCUGUCCUUCCUCACUGGAACAGGUGGCCAAACUAACACCUGCAUUCAGCAAGCCCUGCAGCACAGUGGCAGCUGCAAAUUCUUCUUUCUUGACUGAUGGCACCUCUGCAAUGUUGAUUAUGGCAGAGGAAAAGGCUCUGGCCGUGUGUGAUAAGCCAAAGGCAUAUUUGAGGGAUUUUAUGUUUGUGUCUCAGGAUCCAAAAGAUCAACUAUUACUUGGACCAAUGUAUGCUACUCCGAAAGUUCUAGAAAAGGCAAGAUUAACUAUGAAUGAUAUUGAUGCUUUUGAAUUUCAUGACGCUUUCUCCGGCCAGAUUUUGGCAAAUUUUAAAUCCUUGGAUUCUGAUUGGUUUGCACAAAACUACAUAGGUAGAAAAACCAAGGUUGGAUUGCCUCCUUUGGAGAAGUUUCAUAACUGGGGUGGAUCUCUGUCCCUGGGACACCCGUUUGGAGCCAUUGGCUACAGGUUGGUCAUGGCAGCUGCCAACGUAAGGAAGGAAGGAGGCCAGUAUGGAUUAGUGGCUGCCUGAGCAGCUGGAGGAUGGGGCCAUGCUAUGAUAGUGGAAAUGUAUCCAAAAUAA
RNA transcript from Cebus imitator (Panamanian white-faced capuchin), 1453 nucleotides. It is a transcript of the gene named trifunctional enzyme subunit beta, mitochondrial-like, with no coding region annotated. The record is from RefSeq and is a predicted model, not a curated record. The transcript has a single exon. NCBI's taxonomy places the organism in Eukaryota, Metazoa, Chordata, Mammalia, Primates, Cebidae.